AUUGAACGCUGGCGGUAGGCUUAACACAUGCAAGUCGAGCGGUAACAGUCCUUGGGAGCUGACGAGCGGCGGACGGGUGAGUAACGCGUAGAAAACUGCCCGGUAGUGGAGGAUAGCCCAGAGAAAUUUGGAUUAAUACUGCAUACGCUCUACGGAGGAAAGCGGGCUUCGGCUCGCGCUAUCGGAUGUGUCUGCGUGAGAUUAGCUAGUUGGUGAGGUAAUGGCUCACCAAGGCGACGAUCUCUAGCUGGUCUGAGAGGAUGAUCAGCCACACUGGGACUGAGACACGGCCCAGACUCCUACGGGAGGCAGCAGUGGGGAAUAUUGCACAAUGGGGGAAACCCUGAUGCAGCCAUACCGCGUGUGUGAAGAAGGCCU
Molecule: ribosomal RNA, 378 nt
Filed under: uncultured bacterium
Lineage: Bacteria
Description: bacterial SSU rRNA
Rfam family: Bacterial small subunit ribosomal RNA
Source: RNAcentral